ACAGUUCUUUAGACUGGGCGUCUGGGCGAUUUUUGCCCUGAUCUCGCUAACGGAGUGU
This 58-nucleotide microRNA precursor is filed under the name Cordylochernes scorpioides. The record is from RNAcentral. Lineage: Eukaryota; Metazoa; Arthropoda; Arachnida; Pseudoscorpiones; Chernetidae.